Molecule: ribosomal RNA, 942 nt
Filed under: Arthrobacter sp.
Lineage: Bacteria; Bacillati; Actinomycetota; Actinomycetes; Micrococcales; Micrococcaceae
Description: bacterial SSU rRNA
Rfam family: Bacterial small subunit ribosomal RNA
Source: RNAcentral
GAAGAGCUCGUAGGCGGUUUGUCGCGUCUGCUGUGAAAGACCGGGGCUCAACUCCGGUUCUGCAGUGGGUACGGGCAGACUAGAGUGCAGUAGGGGAGACUGGAAUUCCUGGUGUAGCGGUGAAAUGCGCAGAUAUCAGGAGGAACACCGAUGGCGAAGGCAGGUCUCUGGGCUGUAACUGACGCUGAGGAGCGAAAGCAUGGGGAGCGAACAGGAUUAGAUACCCUGGUAGUCCAUGCCGUAAACGUUGGGCACUAGGUGUGGGGGACAUUCCACGUUUUCCGCGCCGUAGCUAACGCAUUAAGUGCCCCGCCUGGGGAGUACGGCCGCAAGGCUAAAACUCAAAGGAAUUGACGGGGGCCCGCACAAGCGGCGGAGCAUGCGGAUUAAUUCGAUGCAACGCGAAGAACCUUACCAAGGCUUGACAUGAACCGGUAAUACCUGGAAACAGGUGCCCCGCUUGCGGUCGGUUUACAGGUGGUGCAUGGUUGUCGUCAGCUCGUGUCGUGAGAUGUUGGGUUAAGUCCCGCAACGAGCGCAACCCUCGUUCUAUGUUGCCAGCGGUUCGGCCGGGGACUCAUAGGAGACUGCCGGGGUCAACUCGGAGGAAGGUGGGGACGACGUCAAAUCAUCAUGCCCCUUAUGUCUUGGGCUUCACGCAUGCUACAAUGGCCGGUACAAAGGGUUGCGAUACUGUGAGGUGGAGCUAAUCCCAAAAAGCCGGUCUCAGUUCGGAUUGGGGUCUGCAACUCGACCCCAUGAAGUCGGAGUCGCUAGUAAUCGCAGAUCAGCAACGCUGCGGUGAAUACGUUCCCGGGCCUUGUACACACCGCCCGUCAAGUCACGAAAGUUGGUAACACCCGAAGCCGGUGCCUAACCCUUGUGGGGGGGAGCCGUCGAAGUGGGACCGGCGAUUGGGACUAAGUCGUACCCAGGGUAGCC